This 270-nucleotide ribosomal RNA is filed under the name uncultured bacterium. RNAcentral's name for it is "partial 16S ribosomal RNA". It matches the Rfam family "Bacterial small subunit ribosomal RNA", at positions 28 to 303 of the family's 1533-position model. The record is from RNAcentral.
GGUAAACGCUGGCGGCGUGCCUAAAACAUGCAAGUCGAACGCACAUCCUUCGGGGUGUGAGUGGCAGACGGCUGAGUAACGCGUGGGUGACGUACCUAUCGAUGGGGAAUAACUGCCCGAAAGGGUGGCUAAUACCGCAUACGCCCGCUUCUGCAUUGGAGCGGGGAAAGUUUCGCAAGAGGCGUCGAUGGAGCGGCCCGCGUCCGAUUAGCUUGUUGGUGGGGUAACGGCCUACCAAGGCGACGAUCGGUAGCUGGUCUCAGAGGAUGA